UCUGUACCACAAAAAGUCAAGGUGAAGCAGCAAGUGAUGAUGUAGAAGCCACAGCUAGUUAUCCGGAAGAUCCAGCUAAGAUCAUUAAUAAAAGUCACUGCACUAAACAGUA
Long non-coding RNA from Sapajus apella (tufted capuchin), 112 nucleotides. RefSeq lists it as uncharacterized. Lineage: Eukaryota; Metazoa; Chordata; Mammalia; Primates; Cebidae. The transcript is spliced from 3 exons. The record is from RefSeq and is a predicted model, not a curated record.